Molecule: small RNA, 485 nt
Filed under: Pongo abelii (Sumatran orangutan)
Lineage: Eukaryota; Metazoa; Chordata; Mammalia; Primates; Hominidae
Description: processed transcript
Source: RNAcentral
ACACACACACACACACACACACACACACUGUCUCUCUCUCUCUCACACACUCCAGGCUGCGGGUUGGCCAGAGCCUGGAAAUCGCAGAUUUCACCAGGAAAUCGCCGAGGUACCGGAAUAGGUGUUGCCUCCCAAAACUAAUUCCUGCUUCCCCAAACACUUUGGUGAAGAAAUGAAUCCAGCCCAGCUCGCCGAGGCAUCCAGGUCUCCGUUCUAUUUUGGUCUCCAGGCUCUUCGUGAAAGCCAGAUCAAGGGAGAAAGAGAACCGGCGGCUGGCCUCGGACUCUAAGCGGUGCGCAGCUCCAGCCCGGGCGGAUCGGCCCUGAACCCACAAAGGACUCCUCGCUCCUUCAAGCCUCCACCACCUCGCAGCCGGGGAGGCAACUGGAGCGAAACCAGCGACAGAUGCGGCCAUGGACAAGACAAGGAGAGCGUCUUCCCUCUCGCCCCUCGGGUUCCCUCCUGCUGGGGACUGACCGCGUCUU